RNAcentral lists this unclassified non-coding RNA (192 nucleotides) under soil metagenome. RNAcentral describes it as "partial contains 5.8S ribosomal RNA, internal transcribed spacer 2, and large subunit ribosomal RNA". The record is from RNAcentral.
AAGACUAUAGACCUGCGGAGUACCUGCGGAGGGAUCAUUAUAGAGUCUUGAACUCCAAACCACUGUGAACAUACCACUGUUGCUUCGGCGGGUUCCCGGCCCAGGCCGCCCCGCCGGAGGUUGCAAACUCUGUUUUCUAGCGAAUCUUCUGAGUCUUAAAUAAGCAAUCAAAACUUUCAGCAAUGGAUCUCU